Molecule: ribosomal RNA, 253 nt
Filed under: uncultured bacterium
Lineage: Bacteria
Description: partial 16S ribosomal RNA
Rfam family: Bacterial small subunit ribosomal RNA
Source: RNAcentral
UACGUAGGGUGCAAGCGUUGUCCGGAAUUAUUGGGCGUAAAGAGCUCGUAGGCGGCUUGUCACGUCGACUGUGAAAACCCGGGGCUCAACUCCGGGCCUGCAGUCGAUACGGGCUGGCUUGAGUGCGGUAGGGGAGACUGGAAUUCCUGGUGUAGCGGUGAAAUGCGCAGAUAUCAGGAGGAACACCGGUGGCGAAGGCGGCUUGCUGGGCCUUACCUGACGCUGAGGAGCGAAAGCGUGGGGAGCGAACAGG